GUCCGUGACUAGUCUGAGAGUACGUUGACUCUGGCAGAGACACGCUGGCGGCGUGCUUAACACAUGCAAGUCGAACGGAGUACCCUCGAAAGAGAUUUCGGUCAAUGGAGAGGACUACUUAGUGGCGGACGGGUGAGUAACGCGUGAGGAACCUGCCUUUCAGAGGGGGACAACAGUUGGAAACGACUGCUAAUACCGCAUAACGUACGGGUAUCGCAUGGUACUGGUACCAAAGAUUUAUCGCUGAGAGAUGGCCUCGCGUCUGAUUAGCUAGUUGGUAGGGUAACGGCCUACCAAGGCGACGAUCAGUAGCCGGACUGAGAGGUUGGCCGGCCACAUUGGGACUGAGAUACGGCCCAGACUCCUACGGGAGGCAGCAGUGGGGAAUAUUGGGCAAUGGGCGCAAGCCUGACCCAGCAACGCCGCGUGAAGGAAGAAGGCUUUCGGGUGUAAACUUCUUUUGACAGGGAAGAGCAGAAGACGGUACCUGUCGAAUAAGCCACGGCUAACUACGUA
This 516-nucleotide ribosomal RNA is filed under the name uncultured Oscillibacter sp. RNAcentral describes it as "bacterial SSU rRNA". It matches the Rfam family "Bacterial small subunit ribosomal RNA", at positions 1 to 507 of the family's 1533-position model. Lineage: Bacteria; Bacillati; Bacillota; Clostridia; Eubacteriales; Oscillospiraceae. The record is from RNAcentral.